Oreochromis aureus is the source of this 1672-nucleotide long non-coding RNA. Lineage: Eukaryota; Metazoa; Chordata; Actinopteri; Cichliformes; Cichlidae. The record is from Ensembl.
CUCGAGUAUUUUCUGUAAUGAAAGAUAAGAUGAGAGACACAAGAUGUGAUUAAAAAAAAAUAGAUGUUUGGGUGCUGUUUGUGUAAAGGAGAGUUUAAAGUCCAGUUCCUUACACUGAAGAGUUCAGGGCCUUUUUUUUUAAAUCAAUUAUGUACGGCACCUCAGCCUACUUCUGUGCUCUCUCACACACACACCUGUUCACUCACCCACACAGCAAUUACUCUUCCUCUGCGCCUCCUGGUAUCCUAGCAACAGUUGCCUGGAUGGCAAGAGCAAACCACCACACCUUGCUCUGUCCUGCAGGCCUGUGAGGGUACUCAAAUAAUGAGUGCUAGCUAUAGGGGACUGCAAAGGGUCACCCAUUUCUACGUUGUUCUGUGACGAGACUGUUGAUAUGGAUUCAUGGCACAGAGAGAGACAGUGAGCUGCAGGGAGCUGUGAGCCAGCAUCGAUUUAAAUAAGCUGGCAUGAUAAGAAAGUGCGGAGAGGUUUCAAGGUCAGUGUACAACACAGACACGUCAGAUGCUGCAGUAUUGAUUCACCCACGGUGAAGUAAACUGUUUCAUGCAUUUGUCUGCAUUUGAACAUUUCCACACUGUCCACUUGCACAGGCGGCUGCUGGAUCGUGUAAUUUAUAGGUUUGUGUGUCAGCUCAGUGUCGCUUAGAUGAAUCCCAUUUUAGUUUACGUGACCGGUGUUAUAAUCCCUGCAAUGCCCGGUGAGAGCGAUCGGGACCAGCUUCAGAAAUGGAUAUUUUACAGGAUGUGGCGCCCUCUGGUGGUAGCAUACAUGAGGAGGCGAAAACUGCUGCCUCCCAGCACUUCGCAGCAGCAAUCUGUAGAUCCAGGAAUGAUGCAGCACUUCUAACUGGGUCAGCCUGUGCCUUCCUCGCAUCCCUCCCGCCUUCCCCACCAUCGCUUCAAGUCACCCCUCCUCUUCUUCCUCCUCCUUUCCCCCCACCCCUCUAUAUGCAAACACCCCUAUAGUUUUUUCACCAUGCAGCUCAUGUGCUGCCCCCUCUCGUCUCACUCUCGCCCCCACCCCCCUCCUUUUUUUCUGCCUGAUUCAUUUUCUCCCGUCCAUGCAUGCUGUCAUAGUGUCUCAGCCUGUUGCUAAAUGACUCCCAUCCCCUCGCACACACACACACACAGUCGCUUUACGCUGGCUAGCUGUUAUUGUGGUUUUCCCACACAAACCUGACUCUUAAGCAUGUGGAUCGUAAUGGUGUCAGUAGGUUUGUAUGUACAGGAAGGGCACAUUGCGUGGCAAUGUGAGCUCUAAAUGUAUUUCUGAGCUGCUCUUCAGAUUGGCUGAUACUCUCAGACCUCGCUGCGGUGGAGAAUAUAUAUGACUGAGCAGUGUCCAAUCAAAGAUUGUUACCAUGCAGCCACAUACUCUACAUAUGUGCAUCCAUACACGGCAUACAUUCAUAAAUAUCGCUGUAACUGUAAUAUAUUUAAAGCACUAUAACACUAUUAAUCGGUCCCCUGAGGGAAACACACUGCAUGAACCUUAAAGCAUACAUUAUAGAACAAAAGACAUGGACAUAACUCUAUUAUACCAAAGGGCAGGAGCAUGUAGCUACAGAGAGGGAACAUCCCCUUUCUUUAUUCCAGUGUGUGGCACAGUGUGGAUGAGACUUUUAAAAAAAGUGAGGUAAAUGGCAGAAAGG